ACGUUUUGUUCUAUGACAUAAAAUACACCAGUUAUAAUCGGCUUGUGAUUUUUUUAAACUUUAUUGUGCCUUAAAAACGGUGGUUGCUAACAAGUUGCUAAUAGGGACUACAUCCGUGGCGGGGAGUUUAGACGUCAUCAUGACAGGAAAUCUCACUAGCCUUUCAGCCUCAAGUCACGUUCUCAGAAGUUUACCUUUCAGUUAAUGUACAUAACGUUAUGUAUUUAGUCUUUUCAAAUUGUAGUUUUUCCAAAUAUUGUUGUACUGUGGAGAGACUGUAGUUUGACAUGUUUUGUUUUGUCCGGAGAUGCAACCACAAGUGGUCGAUGAAAGAUUCUCGUUUACCGUCCGAUGUUCCCCAGCGGAGCCUGUUCGUGCCGUAAGACGAGCUGACCGGAUGCCCAGUGUCCAUUCUCGCAUCUGCAGCUGUCAUUUUCCUGCAGGGGAUAAAUUGUCCCCGUUUUGUUUAUAUCCACAAAUGAUGUUCCCACUGGACAAAUUUUGGAAGAUCAUUCAUACUCCCUGAGACAGGAUAGGGCUGAUGUGCCUAAAAAUGUUCCACCACCCAUUUAUAAAGAGGAGGAAAUGGCUACCAUUUAUGGCUGACAAAGAUGAUGAACCAUCUAAAGCACAACUAAAGAAGAGCUGCAGUCUGGACGAAGAAGAAGAAUCCAGCUUAAGAUUGAGUUAGAGCAUUCCAUAACAGAGAUUCAGCAUCUCAAAGACUAACUCCAAAGGCAAAUGAGUAACUGUCAUGACAGGUAUUCAGCCUUUCAGAUGAGUGAAAGUGUGAAUCGAAUGGAGACAGGAUUGCCAGAUAGAGAUACUUUCAGUGCUGUGUGUGAAUAUGUUGCUCAUUUUGAGGAUUCCAUUACGUACUUUGCUGGAUGGAGGAGACCCAAAGAAAUCAUCCUUGAGGACCUUGAUUAAAAUUCGCCACAACUAUACACACUUGCACUUGCAUUUUCCAUGUGGGCAUUCACAUUGUGUUGCAAAAAUACCUUCUUUCCCUGUAGAGACUUGUCAUGUGAAUUAUAUAGUAUAUAGUUUGUUUUCAGUUUACUUAUUUUAUGAAAAUAAAGAUGUUUACUACAAAA
This is a long non-coding RNA of Misgurnus anguillicaudatus (oriental weatherfish), 1097 nucleotides long. RefSeq lists it as uncharacterized. The record is from RefSeq and is a predicted model, not a curated record. NCBI's taxonomy places the organism in Eukaryota, Metazoa, Chordata, Actinopteri, Cypriniformes, Cobitidae.